Molecule: long non-coding RNA, 2180 nt
Filed under: Podarcis lilfordi (Lilford's wall lizard)
Lineage: Eukaryota; Metazoa; Chordata; Lepidosauria; Squamata; Lacertidae
Source: RNAcentral
UUGGGUUUGGGUGGAUGUGAGGAGGAUGCCUCAAACAUCUUGGGCUUUGCUUCUCAACUUAUUCUGCCUUCUGGGACCCCCCAGCCCAACACCAACCACCUCUUGGAUAGGUGAGCAUGCAGAUAUUUUGGAAUCUGAGUGUGGGGCAAGAUGACCGCGUAUGAAAGCUCAUUUUAGCACAAGUGCUGGCCCCUUGGUUUCCUACCUCUCCCCACUCUUGGCUGGCCAGAGAACGCAUCUGGUUGCACUAGACUCUGAACGGACAAUCACAAGCUGGCCAGCUCCUUGUUCAGGGUCUCCAAGAGAGAGAAAAGGGAACCUCAGUUACUAUUUGCCUUCUGGGGCCAAUGUCUCACUCCCAGAGCAGCAAUACUUACGGCUGCUGCACAACAGCCUCAGGACAUUCAAGGGAUCGUGACCCAUCCAGAUCAAAGCACACAAGCCCUGCCCACCAGAUACCAAGCACUCUACUGGGAAAUUAUGGGUUUUUUAAUUGGCUGAACAAUUAGAAUUUCAGACCUUGGGGAAUUUGAUUUCUUAAACAUACACCUUCCUCUACCUUGUGUCCCUGCUGAGGAAAGCCAGUCCUGGCUUUCUUCCUUUGAAUUGCUGAAUCAUGAACUCUGUACAUGCACAGAGGCUAUAUCCCUUGAAGGCAUGACCAAAGCCAAAGUAAAACCCCAAAGAUGAGCAAGAUGGGGCAUAUCUCUCCAGGGAGUGUUGCCACCUGGCUCGAUGGGAUAUUGCUUAAGGCCAAUGAAAGCCCAAGCAGGGAUUCCUAAUGGGGGAAGUUGCUGUCAUAUACUAGAGGAGCAGGAUCAGGAGGCUAACUUGGACGCCUGAGAACAGAAAAAAGCAGCAUCAAAACAACUACAUUUUAUAUAUAUAUAUAAAAUUAUUAUUGGUUUUCACACUUAUCACAUAAAAAAAAGAAAAACAAGAAAAAAGAAAAACAUUACCACACACAAAAAACAAAGAAAAACACAUAAAAAUAAAUUUUAACUUCCUGACUUCCUUGAAUCCCCUCUAACUGAAUUUCAUUAUAUCACCUAUUUAGCAGUUCUCCAAAUUCAUAUUUCUAAUAAUAUUAACUUCUUUCAUUUACUAACUUCUUCUCCUUUAUUAAUAUUCUAAUCCUUAAUAUUUAUAUUUGUUUUUGGGGGACAGGGAGCGGGUUAUUAUUACAAUAAUCCUGCCAGGGUUCCUAUCUGUUUACAAUUUGUCUGCAAUUAUUCAAUAAACCAUUUCCAUUCUUUUAUAAAAAGUCUGUUCUCUUGCUCCUAGAAACGGUCAGCAUACAACAGAGACUGCAUCCUGGGAACAGCUUCGACUGGCCACCUAAACCAGGUGAGGGCGGCCAAGGAGUCUCAAAUGCUCAGUGAGUUUGGAACUUCCCCUGUGUGCAAAGACCGGCUCUGGCAGAUUGAGCAGACGAGACCAAGCGUGGGCCCAGUGGUCAAGAAGGUGGUUUCUGCAUGUGCUGUGAAGGGGAAUUAGGGGCAGAUGGGGCUCACCAACCUAGAAAGGUAGCCCAUUGAGGAGAAGGAAAACUUAUCCUAAUUUGCCUUGUGGGAUAUCUUCGGGAGCUGAAAAGGCUAAGGAAAACCCUACACAAAUCUGGAGUGGAGUAACUCAGGCGGUUGGAUGGCGCCGUUUACAACCCCUUCUGACAACUCCUGCAGCCCAACUGGUGCCUAACUCUGCUUUCCUUGGAGCCACAUCUGCAAGGCCAAGAGAGGGAGUCUUGUCAUCUGGGAAGCCCAGGACCUCCAGACACACUGCCUGGGCUUGCUCUCUGGAGAGGUCACUUUGGGACUGCUAACAUCGUUGCUUGACGUUUGACCGCACUCCGCUGCUUCUCGAGACAGACAAAUGCCAACAUUAAAAAACUAUUUGAAAGAAUUUUAUUUCGUUCACAAAAGACAAUCUGGCAUGUGAUUAGGAUAAAGGUUUUCAGACAACGGGUGACACGUUUAUUGAUCCAGCUUGGAAGUCUCUGUCUUGUCUUCGCACAUGCGCAGUUCCAUCUAGGAGCAACAACAAGGGAAGGAGCCAAACUGUCGACUCCUGCAGCGAGACUCAGGAUUUCCACCCAUGCUCACAAAUGUAGGAAAAAGCACCCCAUAGGACAAAAGGAUGAUCACAGACUAGCAUGUUCAUAAGGGAACUUUAUUAGAAUA